CAGGCGAGGCGUGCGCCGGAAUACAUUAGCAUGGUAUAAACGAAUUGGACCGUGUGCCCGUAACUGGGCUUCUCCUUAUUGUUGGUUUGAAGGACACGGAGAUGGUUAAUAGGGACAGCGUUUAUUUCACAAGGAGGCAUUAGUAUUUAAUUUCCAGAGGUGAAAUUCUUUGAAAUAUUAAAGACUAACUUAUGCGAAAGCAUCGUUUGCCAAUGAUGUUUUCAUUAAUCAUUGAACGAAAGUUAGGGGAUCAAAGACGAUCAGAUACCGUCCUAGUCUUAACCAUAAACGUUGCCGACUAGGGAUCGGAGGGCGUGCACAAUCCGCCUUCGGCACCUUACGAGAAAUCAAAGUCUUUUUGGGUUCUGUGGGUAGUAUGGUCGCAAGGCUGAAACUUAAAGGAAUUGACGGAAGGGCACCACCAGGAGUGGAGCUUGCGGCUCAAUUUUGACUCAACACGGG
RNAcentral lists this ribosomal RNA (462 nucleotides) under uncultured eukaryote. Its description in RNAcentral is "SSU rRNA". It matches the Rfam family "Eukaryotic small subunit ribosomal RNA", at positions 781 to 1209 of the family's 1831-position model. The record is from RNAcentral.